CGCAGCCCGGAUCAGACCGGGAGAUAAAAGCCCCGAUGGUGACCGUGAGUGAUGGCAAGAGGAUUUAGCCUCGGCAUUAACUUGGAGCGGAGUGCAGGGGGGCGGUGAGGCGCCCCGCCAUCUGGCCGGCGCCGCGCCAGGGGGAUGUUCAGGCGCCUGGACCAGCAGCGGCGAAGCCCACCCAGGCCAGGGGCUGAGUGGGGCGCGCGUGCAGGUUCUCCCCUGGCUGCCCAGGGGGCCCCAAAAGUUUGCACUUGUUAACAGCGACCUCCCGAUCGGCCCGGGAGGGCCAUGCAAGCCGCGCGGUUGGCCCCCUUCCCUGGCCCGCGUCUCCGGGACGGCUGCGGGCGGGCCCCCCGGCGGCCCGAGGGUUCCCCAGCCCAGAUCUGAGGGUGGCCACCGCAGCGGCGGCGCGGGGCAGGAGUCUCCAGCUCUCAACCCUGCGGCCCGUGCGCCCACCCAGCACCAGCCAGAGGGUGGCGGUCUCCGGCCUCUCGGGGCUCGCUCCGGGAAGCUGCUCCGAGCCCGGGUGCUGCUGCUAAUGAACACAUUCUCUCUCUUUUCUCUUCACAAUGAAAGCCAAGCCUGAGCCCAGGUACCUGGAUGAAGUGAGAGUUGAAGUCUCCGGAAUUUCACAAUAAGUGGCCAAUGGCUAUGAGCCAAGGUCAGCUGGCCCCCGUGCCUUGGCCCCAUACCAGAGCAGAGGCAAAUGGCCUCUCCAGUUAGCACCUCAGUGGCUUUUUGUAUAGUCCAUUCACAGGGUUGUUGUCACUUUCAGCCCAUAUGAAAAGAAAUCUUUUUAUUGGUCUGAGAGACCAAGUCCAGUCCCAAAGAGGGGACUGUGUCCAUCUAACACGCCCACCUCCUGAUUCCGUGUUAUCUUCACCGUGCAGGCUGGUAUGCGGUUGUGUGCAGCACGUCGCACAUUAAGGGCCCUUUAAAGACCUGGAUUGAUUGGAAGGACAAAAAUUAAAAGCAAUCUGAUCCAGCCCCAUGCCGGAUCCCUGCAGAUUUCCUCCUUAUCCCAUUUCCAUCCACUGUCACAAUUUGAGAGUCUGCCCGAUUUGAUCAGCUUCACCUCCAGGGGAGGUGUAACACCAAGGUUAGGAGGACACCAAGUUACAGGCAACUUUUUGAUCUGCCCAUCAGCAGCCUGAGAAACGCUGGCUCUGGAUUUUCUGUAUCAGCCAUUUGGAAAACACAAGCUCCCACUAUUGGCAGACCUGCAGUGCUUAAGUCAACGGUACACCCCAGACACCACCGCCUGGCAGAUGUGACAUUUCCAUGCUGAGGUCCCAAGUGCCCCCUGACCCCACCACCACUUCUCCAGUGCCGCUCUGGGCCCCACCCAUUCGGACUGCGCAGCCAUGCUGCGCCUGCUGGCUCUCUUCCUGCACUGCCUCCCGCUGGUCUCUGGGGACUAUGACAUCUGCAAAUCCUGGGUGACCACAGAUGAGGGCCCCACCUGGGAAUUCUAUGCCUGCCAGCCCAAGGUGAUGCGCCUGAAGGAUUAUGUCAAGGUCAAAGUGGAGCCCUCAGGCAUCACGUGCGGAGACCCCCCUGAAAGGUUCUGUUCCCAUGUAAGUCACCCCAUGGCUUCUCUAUCACUGCAUUGAGGGGUGGGGGACUGUGAGCAAAGACAGACCUGGGGGUGGCUGAGCAGAACCAGAGGGCCCUGCCUGAUACAAGACCGACUCCAAGUCCCACCAGGGAAGAUGCCAAAGCCAAGCUGCCCUGAGGACCGGGGGGCUGAGUGACAUUUUGUGGGUGAAAGAAGUCUUGGCCAGCUGACCCUGGCAUGGUUUCCUGCCAGGGAUUGCACAGCAGUCCUAGUUCCUUGACUCAAAGCCAGCCCCUCCUCCUUUGCAGGAAGUCAGCAUUCAGACCAGAGAUCUGAAUACUAUCUGCAAGGUUACCCUCCAACCUGCAUGGGUUCUCACCCCCUCCCCUUGCUCUAGUGGAGCACCCUCCCAACCUGCCCAGUCCAGCCUAGUACAUAAGUAGCAUUCAUGAUCCUAGCUCAUGCCAGGCACUGACCAAGCAUUUUGAAGGAGGAAGCAGGGGUGGGGAGAUCAGGCUAGAUAGACAGGACAGCAUCUCAGCUGGUGCUAUCCCCUAGUCAAGAGGUCAGCGCUGAGGCCUUGUCAUGUGAGCUCCAAGAAGAAGGGGUCUUGGAGCUAUCAGGAACUUCAGUGCUUAGGCAAUGUUAACGAGGGCAGUGGGAAUAGCAGCAGCGUUUGACAAGAGCUCAGGAUGUGGGGUGGAAAGCCCAAGCAGUGUUACUCUACUGGGUUUUCCCCUGGGCUCCCCCAGGCUGAUUCUACCUUAAACAACGUCAGAAUGUUGAAAUGGAGGGAAACGUUGAGACAGGUCUCAGGCCAGUGUCACCAUCUCCGGGUUCUGCUCUAUCAGCUGUAGGAUGGGUGCAGCAACACAGUACAUUAAGGGGUCAAUGGCUCUGUGGAUACAAGUUGUUCAAAAUCAGAGUGGGCACAGAGAAGGUGUCCCAGACGUUAGCUUGUUCUGGUCAUAUGGAUAGGGAAACUGAGGUGGGGGUGGGGUCUUCAGGGAAGGCCCUUGGCCAAGGUCACACAGCAGAAAGUGGUGAUGCUGCUGAGUUAGGCUCAGCCUGCCUGACGCAGCUGCCUGUCCCUGGCAGAGGCUGGGCAGAGCAGCCAGAGGAGCAGGCAAGAGGGGUCCGAUGUCACCCUGCAGGUGGCUGGUGCCUCUGCGUGUCCUUGGGGAAAGCUGGGUUUAUUGCACAGUCAACCUGGUGUCCCCAGCCCAGACUCCUGAAAAUGUCUCAGUCCCUUGGGGUGGCUUCAGUCACCAUGCAGAGAGAGCAGCUAGCUCAGGAAGGCAGAUCCCUACUUGGGCUUGUCAGUGGUGAUGAGGCUGUCACUGUAGGUGGUGGCUGGGCCUGGGCCAGCUUAGAGAAGGGGAGGGAGUGAGGGAAGGAGAAAGAGAGAAGACAGCCCAGGGCUAGGAGCCAAGAUUGGAUUAUGUAUGGACAUUGUCGAGCUUCGAAAGACCACGCUGGCUCAAGACAGGCAAAGGGCCCUGAAAGUUAGAGCUGAGGCUAUAGAGCCUCCCAUUCUGCAUCCUUGUCUCAGCUCCUGUGGGAACUGCUUCAACCACACAUUUCCCAGGCAGAGUCUCAACAUGAUUUUGUCUUUUAAAUAUUAAUCAUUGCCAGGGUUUGGGACAGUUCAUGGGAAUGGCUUCUAUUCGAGUGUGUAGGAGCUACAGAUGACCACCAGAAGCAAAUAUGGGGCCCUCUCCUGGUUUGUGACCUUGAUGAUGCUGAGCUCUGGGGUCUGGAUAGGUGGGAAGUCCAGGAGGAACCUCUGAGCAUUUUAUCACUUGCUUGAUGGCUGCAAACGUUCCAUGACAGGCAGGUACAGCGUUGCCUUUGAUUACAAGUGUGAGACUAGGGAGAAUGAAGUGCCACAGGGGCAGGUGGAGGGCAGCCCUCAGAAGGUGCUGCAAGGUACACCCCAGUCUAAUCCCUUUUUAAAGAUUAGAAAGAUUGCCUAAGUCAUGCCAAGGUCAAGGAGCUUAGCAGGCAAACCAGAAACUCGUCUGUGGCCAGAGCGCGUGCUUAUCCACCAGGGUUCGUGGCUUCCCUCUCUGAGCCUCCGUUUUCUUCCUGUUUCAAUAAAACACGCUAAUGUAGGUGUAACGUCACUGCGCUGGCAGGGAGACAGCUGGGCCAGGCACUAGCAAGCACGGGCACGGGGGAGUGCUUUAAUGUGCAGUGGCCGUAAUUAUCUUACGUCACCAUUGUUAUCACUCCCUCCGUGGCUGCCUGGGUUUCUCUGCUUCCCUGGAGUAUAUUGCUUCACUCCAGCCUUGACCACAUCCCAGUCUGCACUUCUCAGCUACAGGCAGCAGCAGGUGGUAGAUGAACACCCUAAGCCAGAGCAAGUGUGCCUAGCUAGCCAGCAGAGGGCACCCUGGUGGCAGCCAGACCACCCCGUGCCCUCUUAGUCUUCUAAGCUAGGGCCAGUUCAUCCCUGCUCUCUGGCAAUCCUCCUGCUAAGGAGUAUGGGCCUGCCUGUCCCAGCAUGCAGGCAAACAGAGCAUGAACCCUGGAACAGCCUAAAGUACAAGACAGGACAAAAGGGCAGUUGCCCUUUUCAGUCCCAGGGUGUGACCCCUACUGUCCCAGGUUCCUGUCCUUCAGCAAGGCCACUAGAGAAUUGAAUUGUAAAUUCCAGCCUGGUAAGGAAGGGGAGGGGGGUAAAAGACAAGAUAAAUGAAUAAAUAAAAACCUAUUGGCUCUAAACGCAAAAAAAAAAAAAAAAA
RNAcentral lists this long non-coding RNA (4308 nucleotides) under Mus musculus (house mouse). RNAcentral's name for it is "RIKEN cDNA 6530402F18 gene (6530402F18Rik)". Lineage: Eukaryota; Metazoa; Chordata; Mammalia; Rodentia; Muridae. The record is from RNAcentral.